CUGGUAAGCAAACCAAAGUCUCAGAGAUGAAUGUUAAUGGGUGCCUAGGUAGGGACAGACUGUUUCUGCACUUUUACAACAGAGAAUCAGAAAAAUAAAUUCCUACUGCUAGUUAGGCCCAAAUUACUGCCUAAGAGACCAUCAAGAAAAUUAGGGAAGAAGGGAACUUCCAGAGUUAGCUUGGAUAUUUCAAAAGAUGCAUUAGUAGAUAAGGAAUGUGCAGUAUGUGUGCAAAUGUAGCAGCCACCUUGUAGUAUAAAGAAGAUACCGCCCACAUGACAAGCUGUAAAAAAACAAAAACAAAAGUGGUGCAUCAUCAGAUUAUUUACAAAAUUUUACAUGCAGGAUCAUUUUUUCUGCUUGACAACAAUUCUGAAAUGCUUGUAAUUAUUGGUGACAAAGGAUGAAAAGGAAAAUGCCUGAUUAGAUGACUGGCAAUUAGAAAAUAGGCUUUUGGUCAGUUAAGCAAAUGUGAUCUGGAGCCACUAGUGUAAAAAUGUGACGUGUCCCAAGGAGAAGGGUUACUUUUUAAAAUAAAGUCAUGCUUUGAAUUCUGUAAGAAGCAAAAGGCAGACAAUCAAUCUUCUAAUUCAAAUAUAUUCUAAAAACAUAUAACUUACUUGUUAUUUGUUACAACCUACUGUAAUUGGCAGACACAACCUAUUCUUGCACAAACCAAGAUAUGGAAUGGGGCACCUGGAAAUGUGUUUAAAGACUGCUGUGAGUACACCAAUGAUAGGAAGCUCCAAAUUGAAAGGACUCUCCUAAAACACAAAACUGUCAGCCAAUUCUCACAACACAUCACAAAUGAUUGAACCCACCAAAUACUGUUAAUUAAGAUUUGUUUCACAAAUGACAGCUACUCUCUAUGUAGCCUUGGUAAUUGAGGCAAGACAUUAAAUUGAGGCCUGGUUUCUGCUGCAACCUCUCUGUUACCUCAAAGGAACAGGAUGUCUUUCAAAAUAUUGAACUGAUUCUUUAUAUCAGUAUACAAAGGAAGUGGACAAUUUAUGAGGAAGUCAAACUGAGCUGUAGUUCCUUUCGGUUUCUACUUUAAUACUGAAUUCAGCAUAAUAGCACUCAUGUAGCAAUCAUUACAGAGGGAAUUACCCACUAAAGCAAACAGCAGUCAUAUGUUUGUAUGGGAGUUCCGCUUUGUCCUCCUGAUACAAGGAAGUGAUAGCACCCUAUGAAAAAUUUUGAGCUGUGAGCCAAAAACAUCAGAUGCAGUAAAAUAAUUUUGAUGUCUGCCUGUACAGCUCAGUUGAUGAUCCCAUUGUAAAACAGCAACUUCCCACUGUAACAGACCACCCACCAUCAGCCUGUACCACAGUGAGGUUCUGCCACUGCUCUUUAAUUAUACAGAAAUCUUCCCAGUAAGACACUAAGGAAGAGAGCAGUAAGGACAGAUUGUUCCCAAGACACUGUUGAAACCUGAAACAGAUGAGGGCUGUGAUAUUUCCUGCCUGUUGUUACCAGGUUAACCUUUUACCUGCAGGACUUGCUGCUUCCAUUUGCCCAACCUGUGAUAAGCUGAAAAUGAAAUCAUUUUGACAGCUAUAAAAGGUCAGUUGUAGAAACAACAUAUUUGUUUUAGCUCAGUAUCUUACCUACAGCAUCUGCUAUUCGUUAUCAUACUAGUGCAUCCAGAGGGGGGAAAAAAAAAUCAGAUUCCUAAUUUCAGUACAAUACGGCUGAUACUUUGGAACAAAGGAGCUCACAUCUUACCACAGCACAUUUGAAAAUAGAUCCUCCUGCCACAAGAACAGAAACUGGAGAUGACUUGACAAAAUUCUUGAGGAUGCACACAUUACACCUGAAAUAAGGAGGGAAGGCGAGCUGAAGACGACCUUCCCAGUACUGUCAAGCAAGCAUCCACAAGUAAAUGGAACCUUACAGUCCUGUGAAUAAUACAAACAGGCAUUAACACACAGCAAACUCUUGUAGUCAGCAAUGGUUCAUCAACCUUUAACUCAGAGAAAAUCUAACCUGAACUCUGUAAGACCCUGCACAACACUCAUGUCAAGAUUUACAGGGUUUUGUCACAUUUCAUGAAUGUCAAUAACCAUAGUAUGUUUAGGUGAUGCCCUACUGGACUCUCAACACAGAUGAAUGUGCCAGGGAGAGGCAGUCCUCAGGAGAAUUACCCAGAAAAGAUGAGCCAGUAACUGGCAGUUACUUGAAAUAAUGACUUUCAGUAUAGGGUUUUUUCCCCCAACGUGGUAACAAAUGUAAAUUGGUUGGGACAUCUCCAAAAUAACAAUUUUUCACUGAAACCAAAUCUCAUGCAUAGCUAUGAUGAACUUAAAAGAUUUUCUGUUAUUAUUUUGCACUUAUAUUUUUGAGAAUACUUGCAGACAUUUCAGAGAUGUGAAAUCUCUGUAAAAUUACACAGAUUUUACAACCAAAUUGGGUAAGGUUAAAUAGCUUCUCAAAUGGAAAAGACAUCAGCAAGUUGGGUUUGUGGUCCCAAAUGUGCAGUUCUCUGAGCAGUGAUUGAGAUGUCUUCCUCAAAGAAACAGGCUUGUACAUUAAAAAGGGGGAAAAAAACAUGACCUACAGUGCAAAGCCCUUAGAGGACUUUGUGCUACAACUACAGCAUAUAGCAAUAAAUCAAACAUUUCCAGGUGUACUAGUUCAAAGGAUAUUCCAAUUGCCCUCAUUACUACUGACCUUUUACUAACACAGAGUGCUGACCUGAGCUAGCGUUGAAUAAUUCCCUGCCACAGAAAACUGCUGUUGCAAAGCUGAAAGAAUAUGUGAGAUACCUGAUAUAACAAAAAGAUAACCAGUGGCACAUAUAUUCUUUCCAGGCAUGGUUUAUUGAAAACACACCAAAUUGUUAUCCUACAUACCUGGUUUCUAACAAGCAUUCUACUUGUCUGCAUUAUGGAAAGAUCCUAUAAUAAUAAUACAUUCUGUCACGGUAACAUUUGUUCCAUGAAAAGCAUAAUCCACCUUUUUUCCUCUCCAUACUGGUAAAAUCAAACCAUUCUAAGUGUUUCAAUUUAUAGUACAGUGUAAAUACAAUGCAAAACCCCACCAGUCUAAACUACAGAGAGAAUGUUGAGCAGUAUUACAGAAAACACAUUGUUGAUUUAUUUUUCUUUUUUAUUCUCCUACCAUGAAAAUUUUAAGGCACAUGAUAGUUACAAACACAUUAGCUACUAAUUACCAGUAAGCUCCUUAGUCUAGUUACUUUGUUUUUCUUAAAAGUAAGAACCAGAUUGGCAGGCCUUGUAGUAUCUGCACUAUCUUCCUCCUCAUUUGCAAAUGGACUUCCUAACAUCCUACCCCGAUGUAAAACUUAAGACAGAAUAAAAGAGAUUCAUAACAACUUUCCUUUAAAUGCACUAGAUUAGUUACUGUACCAAAAAAUCAGAGGAUUUCUCUGACAAAGAUAAGGAAACACCAGAUUUUAUGGGCAUUAAAACAAGAACACUGCGAGAAACUAUGCCUAUAUAAACACCUUCAAAAACUGAGAGAGUGUAAUCCAACCCAAACAGCACAAAACUUCUGGCUGAACUUGCUGGCACACUAUAGCUUACACUGAGUGGGCAGCUAGACAGAAGGGACUGUAAUCAGUCUGUAAUGUGCUCAUGUGGUUUCUGAAGCUUUACUUACUCCAAGCGUUUAAAAUGUGCCUCUCUCUCAUAAGUAGCCAAGCCUGUAAGCUCAACUUUAAGGCAAGUAACAGAAAGUAACUCACCACCUUCAAGCUAACAAAAUCGCUGUAGGAUUGAAAACUGCUUUGCCCAGCAUAAACCAUGCAUGCUAGAAAUCAUCACUGAAAACUAUUCCUCUGAGUUGGCAGGAGCUUACUAAUUGGCUCUAACAAACAUGCCACCCCCACUUCCUUAACGCAUCACUUAACAAGUCAGUUCCUAGUCCCCAAGUCAGUCCCUUUUAUGAAGUCUUGGCAAAGGAGACAAGAUUUAUUUUCCUAAUAUAUACAUUUAGAAUCUGUGGGUCUGAGUGCACUAGUCUAGAACCAGGGACACUCAGGUAUUCUGCCCAUAAGACUUCUGGCUGCCCAAGCUGCUCCCUGGGGAACAUUUCAAGCUGGCAACCACCUUUGAUUUGUCAAGUUACACUUACGGCUAAAUUGCUUUUUAGCUCCAACACAGAAACAAAAUGUCCUUACAUCUUGCCUUUCUGCUGGACGCUGCACAGACAGAAUCACAUAAUCCUUAGAGUUGGAAGGAUAAAUCACUCAUCCACUCAACAGCCCAACUUCAUGCUUACCUGGCAGUCUUGACACACAACAUUAAGUGGCCCUAUCAGUGUUGUUUCUUGGUUUUCAGUUUUGUUUAACCUCCACAGCCUACUGAAUAUGCCUGGGCAGUGAGCAAGCCAUCUCCCUGGGAUGAAAGUUCAGCAGUUAGUUGCCAUCAGAAAUCUCUUCCAUCCCGUUACCUCAGCCCUUACUGGGCGAUCAAAUUUCUUCCUCCUCUUUAUUAAGAGUCUUGCAACACCCAUCUUUUCCUUCCACAACCACCCCUCCCACUUAAAUUUCUGCAGGUACAAAUCUCUCCUACCCCAGCUCUUUGCAGACAGACUGCCUCCAGUUUUCACAGUGGAACCAACAGGAAAAGAGGAGGUCACAUACCUGAGCCCUAAAAAGCACUGCCUGCCUUUGAGCAGGAGCCUCUAGACCAUACUGCAGCAUUAGUUACACACACUGCCACUUUCCCUUCUUAACGUACUAUCCCUGCUGCCAAAACAAACUCAACAAUUACUGGUUUAUUUACCCACAUUCCAGAAGAGCUCAACCAGCCCAGUCACACUUGCAUCAAGAAGGAGAGAUAUAAGGGCAGGUGUGGACACACAUCCCACCAAUGCAUUCUGGAAGUUGGCAUGUGGCCACAGAUGAAAAGGACAUUGGAUAAAUCACCGAGCUAAGUUCAAAGUAUCUUGCUAGACAUUUUGGCUUGUGAGCUGAUAGUACAAGGCGAUAGUCUCAUAUGCAAGUCAUUCCCAGCCCAUUUUCUUUCCUCAUCAUCCGAACAACAGCUUGGUGAGAAAAAAAAUAAACACAGUAACGUAAAUGAUACAUUAUUGGUUAUUGCUACAUACCGAAAAAUUCAUCAUAACUGUAAGGCAUGGGAAGGGCAAAAGUAAGAUGUUGUUUCCUAGGAGGACGUCUUGGCACGUGGACUUGGCAUUUCACACCUCUUAUGUACUACCCUUUACUUUUUUGUUGCAAUAAACCAUGCUUUCACCUCUGAACCAUCGGGGCUGCCAAGAACACUUUAUCCCAGGAGAAAGGAAGAAGAACAGUUUGCUACAAUGAGCCUGGGCAGCCAAUGCCAUCUAACCUGACAGGGAGGUUUGCUUGACAGAGGAUGCAGUAUAAAUAUGAAAAGAUCUUUGGGGGGGGGGAAGCUGGAUAGGGUCUGAAUUUGCUUCUCAAGUUUUCCUUAGUGUUUUCAGUUUGAUUCACUAAUGACAGAGACAAAAACAGAUACCCAUAGAUUUUGAGUGUCCUUGUAGUGCCCCACUGAGAGUCAUAUGAUACCUGGCACAGGAGGUCAUGGACAUAACUGACCCCUAAUCACAUCACUUCCCCCUUUCCUGCAGUUUUCUCUGUUAACCUCUUGCUGGCUUUGAAAUAUUUGUACAGCAACUGAAUUACAAAGUCUUAGCAGAGACUCAACAGUCAGGUCUUUAUUUUAAAUGAACUUUUGCUCAGACUCCUUUGGUAAAUAUAUGGUUUGAAGUAGAUCAGGGACAGACUGACAGCAUGGCCCUUUUCUUACACUGUUCUAAUUAGCUACAAAGCAGGUUCCAUUGCUAAUUACUGAACGCUUUUAAAAAAAUCCUUUCAUAUACAAAAAGAAUACACCAAGUACAUAACCAAAAGUGAUAUAAAACGUUUCUGUGUAGCUUGGUUAAAAGGGUCUCCGCGUAUUGGCAGAACAAGUAUGAAAAGAGCACCAUUGAUAUAAUAUACAGUCAGACUAUGUAUCUGGUUUCAUCGCCAAACUUUAUGUCUACACACAGAGACACUGCCUCUGACACAGAUGUUGAUAAUCACAGAUGCAUCUCUGCUUCCCUUGAUCUGCUGAGCAUCUUUGGCCCAAUAGAACUCUCAUGCAGGUGAAAACCCCACAAAUAUUUGCUAUCUUAAUUUGCUCUGAGCAACUUCACCUUCUCUAUGAUCCAGAAGUGACUACUGCAAUGUACAUAGAAGAUGAGGGUCAAAAGGGAGGAGGGUGAAGGAGCACAUGUAUCAUCCAAAUCACUGACAGCUUCUGGCAUCAGUCUUUUUCCCUGAAUCAACAAAUGCUUCCCUCUCCUGCAAACUACUUUACAUGGUUUUAUUAACCUAUCCUCUGCACAACAAUAUAUAUAUAUAGAUAUAUAGAUUUAUUUAUUUAUAUAUAUGUAUUCAUGUCAAUUUUUUAAUAUACUCAUGAAGAUAGAAAGCUCUUGGUACUUGCUUUUUUGUGUUUUUUUUUUUUUUAACAAAAACUUCAAAUGCUUACUAUUACAGUAAUAUUUUGGGUGAGGCAAGGUUGUUGGAUAUUUCCCCUUUUUAAUUACAAAGGAAAUGGCAGGCACUGAAAACACCAAAUGAUGUUCGCUAGGCUCAAAAAUGUGCUUUCCAGUCACACCAUUUUUAGGAGCUUAUUUAGAAUUAAAUGUGGCAACCAAACAAAAUCAGCAAAAGCCCUCUGAUGCUUACUAGUGAGAUAUUUGGUUCCUAUUCUUUUCUGCUGCCCUCCCUUGACCAAUGCCUGCAGAAAAUCAGUGAUCUAAAGUCACUUAGUUCGUGGCAUUAUCAUAUUCUGUAUAUGCAGCGUAUGUUCUCUGUUCUCAUGAGGUAAAUUUUCUGCCUUAUCCAGAGCACGCCAUGGCAUCUAAGAGGAGAACAUUUGCACAUGGAUGAUUUUCAUACCACCUAAAAUAUGUAAUCUCAAAACAAAAUCAAGGGAACACAGAAAUGAUGAUGAUUUAAAAAAUGUCUGAUCUGUUCCCUUUAUGGCAUUUUCCACCAGGAUCUAUGGCCCAAAGCAAACAUGGAUCCAACAGUGAUAAAUUUACCAUCAAAUAUAAAUGACAGACCCCUCUAAAAUGUAUAGUAUGUUCAAAAUAAGACAUCCUGCGAAGAAGCUUCUAUUUCUUCCAAUGUGUUGACAGCUACAGCAAAAGAAAUUGUUAAUUGUCAUCAAUGCAACACUGGUACAAUUAAAACGUAAGAGCUCCUUACUGCAACCUCUGAGAAUAAGAAAAUAAAAAGUCAGCCAACUCCAUUUCUGAGCAUACAUUUCUGAACUGGGGACACUAAAACCUUCAUGUGGAAAUAAAAGCAGAGCCAUUACAGAAUUCAAAAGGCAGAAGUACUGUACAUCAGAUUAUAACGAUAAUAUAGCACUGUGAUUGAUAUAGCUUACUCUAAAAGCAGAUUUAUACAGCUUGCACCAAUUUUGUUAUCUACUCUCCAGUUCAUCUGACCAGCAUUUAAUAUUUUUUGUUCUGUAUUUUCUCUCUUCAUUGAAAUUCAAUAAACCCACUCAACAUUCCUGCAAUUCCUGUUGAAAUAACAAAGAAAACCUCAACAUUUUUCAAAAACCCUUUAAAAAUGUUAGAUUCACAGUUCAAAAUACAUCCCCCCAAACAAAAAGAAAACAAUGGGACCCAAACCAUAAAAGUGCUAAUAUCUUCAUGACUACACCUAAGGUAUCAUUUCAAAUAUUCUGCAGUUCACUUAUGAAGCUGUCCUCUUUGCUGCUGCAUGACCUUCGCUUCUCAUUCUUGGCACCUUCCACAUAAAUGACCUACCCAGGGGAAAAUACAAGCUUGUUUUGAGGCCAGAGAGAAGUUAUGGCCACAGCAUUGUUAGAAGCACUAAGUAACUUUUAAAUAAAAAGAUCUACUGAAAAAGCAUAGCAAUGCAACAGAAAUUCAACAGAAUCCACUAAGAUACUUUUGCACACAACCCUCAAGGCAAAACGCUUCAUGAAGAAAGACUGCUGUUGUUGCUGUUAAAUUAGAAAAUGGUCUAAAUUUGUUUUUAGAAGGCACACACUCAGAAGUACGCACAUCUCUCCUUCCUCUCCAUCUCCUUGGCCCAUGCCCACUGUCUACAGUCAGGAGUCAGAGUGAGUGCUGCUGAAAUGAAUGCUGCUCACCACGCUGCUCUAGACAAAUGCACAAGCUGACACGUACUUCUCACGGUGAAAACAAAGCAGUGUGAUGUUCUGAAGUGACUGUUCUCAGAAUAAAGACUGAAUACGGUUAUUCACUACAGGGCAAGGGAAUGCUGCCUGCACAAAGAUGACAGAACAAAAACUUUAUUUUCUUACAACCUCAUUCAUUUACAAGAAUAUAUCAACUGCCUGCAUUUACUUCUGCACUGGAAAGCAGUAUUUUGUUUUUAUUUCUAGUUAGCCAGUGCUAGGUUAGGAAAUGGUGCUUUGUCUUAACAUUAGGCAACAAAGACACCAAAAAAACCCUUUACAGCCCUCUAGUGAGUAACUACCCUGUUCUUGCUGAGAACACCAGGCUCUGUUUCUUCUGAAGGCACUAACUAGCACUCAGCAAUAAAGGGAAUCUCACUUUUAAGGGUUCUUUCUCUGAGGCAUCCCCUGUGUUAUCGCUGGUCUUGUAUUUGCGCUCCUUGUCCCGGUGAUCGAUGGUAGAGUAUCCAUCUGAGGAGGAAUAAUAUGACAGUUAGGCAUGAAGCACAACAAAGAGCAAAACAGAGCUGAUGCUAGCAGUAUUCUUCAGCAAAGAAACAGGAAAAGAGACCAUCAAAACCCAAAGAUGCUGGUAGCCUGCUUCUCACAUACGCUCUAGCUCUGAGAUUUUACUUUCACCGGUUUAAAACAGAAAAGCUUUUUUUUUUUUUUUGUAUCACUGCCAGAUGCUGGCACUCAUUAGCAAGCAGAACUGUUUUCAUCCCAACCUACUGCAGUUUUGUAGUGUGCCUAAGGAAAGCAGCAAGUUGUCAUCUCAAGCCCUGUGGCUAAUGAGCUCCAAAUUCAGCUCAAAUCUUGUGUUCCUUGCUUAGCAGCCUGAUUAAUUGGCUGUGUUCAUUCUCUGAAUGCUCUGCAGCAUGUUCCCACUCUUCCUGAGCCUGACUAUUAACAGGACAUAACAGUAAUUUCAAAUAGCCCCUUUCAGUGCAUUGAGAAAAGGAGACUGUUGAGUUGGAAGAAAUCUUGAUGCAAACUCUGCUGUGCUAGGACUGCCUUUCAUUCCAAAGCAGCACCUGAUGCUGCUUUUUCUCCUGACAACUAAGAAACAAUAUGAAAGCGUGAUUAGUACACGGAGGAAAAGUGUGAGGGACCAUUAUAAAGAAAUAGCUUUACAUAUUUCAGAACAUACUCUGCCUUGAAUCAGUUCAGCCAACACAAACCUGAAUUUAUUUUCCUGAGGCAUCAGAUUUCCCUCAUUAUCAAUUACAAAUAGAUCGUCUCCUGCUCUGCUUUGACAGCAUCGUGACCUGGAGUAAAUGACACUCAAUCUAUAUAUUCCUGUAGGCUUUUGUUUUUACCCAUGUAACUGACAGAUCAUUAAUGUUUUCACAUUCUGACAAACUGGGUUCUUAGAAGACUACAAAAAGGUUCUUAGGGAGCUACCCAAAAUGUGCAUCUCUUGGCACAGUACUUGCCUGCAAAAUGUCACUAAGAAAAAAAGCUUUUUUGUGGGGUUGCCUUGGCACAAAGAGGCUCUGUUUGCCCACACGACAAAAGCAGCUGGAGUGAGUUGUUCCGAACAGUCACAGCACAGUUCUAAACGACGUUUAUGCUGGUCACAGUGAAGUUAAUUUUAAAAGAGCUCAAGUUUUCUACACAUCUCAGGAAUCAAAGUGCAGACAGACCUGAGGCAGCACUCAUGACAUCAUGGCUAGUAACAUUACUUACCCAUGCUGCUUAAAAAUAACUAAGCAAUUGAGUUACACACGUAGUGCACAGAUUUUCAAGCAUUGCUACACAGAACUUCACUUACAAACAUUUGUUGACAACAAUGAAGUUAACAUUACUGGCUAUUCCUUUUGAAAAAAAAAAGUAGAACCCAAAGCCUACUAGUUGCAUUCAGUCACCCAGCCAGAAUUUGUGGUGGAAUGCUAAUCAAUAAUUCUCUUCAGAAUGUCUAGCAUGAAUACUACUAGUUAAGUUAUAUAUUAAAGAUUCAUCAUUCAUUUAGGAGUAAAUUGUUCACAUAGGUAUCUACACAAAUGAUGGAAGCAUGCUGACUCACAGUAAUUUAAACACUCAACUGAGAGGUAGAUUCUCACAGUCAAAUUUUAAUUAUACUCACAAUGGUGUAACAGAUCACUCUUCAUUUCUUUACUAGUAUCGAGGGUAAUCCCAAAACAUUUUAAAAUCAAUUGCUAAGACACAAAGGGAAACCUUAAACCUACCCCCAGAAAGCAAAAGCCAUUAAGGUGAAGUAUGGCAGCUGUAGUAUUUCCCAGACAGCAACGUCAGAAUAAAGACAUUAAUAAUGAAAAACUUAAAGUAUGGCAGUUCUUCAGUACUAAAAAAACAAUCAAACAAAUAAAAAAUAAAACCCCAUGCUCAACAGGAAUCUAACAAAGAAUGGGCAAGAACCUUGUUUUUUGUAUCCAAAUUCCAAGAUUUCGAAGUUUGUACUGUCAGCCCACUGUUGUGUGGCCUGCAUGCUAAUGGUGUUGCACACACCAGUGCUAAUGGAGUAUGUGCUUCUGAAAACCAAGCACUGUGCUACAACUCUGUCAAGAUAUGCAGCAGCAGAGAUGGGAAGUUCAUGACUGGACCUAAUAAAAUGAGUAAUGUCUUGAAGAAGGCUGCAUCAGAAAAGUAAUACCUCCGUCCCCAAGGAUCAUACCUCUCCAGGAAUAGUGACUACUGCUUCUCUCAUGUUUCAGAUUGAUUCUGAGUAAGUUAUCUUCUGAAGUUAUAUUCUGAACAGACAGAAUGACUGAAUUUACCUGGGCCAAGUUCAUCCAUAGGUAUCAUAUCACGACUCCCAGUUUUCUCAUUAUCUGUAAGACAGAAGCAUGGAAUAACUGUAACUACUCAAGUUACGUUUGAUUUUCUCAAUACUGGUACUUCUAAAUUAGUCUCAGAACCAGAGAGGUCCUUGAAGUAUUGGCUGCAGACCUGUAAAAAAAAAAAAUUCAACUGCUAUCCAUUCAGAAAGGACAAUUUAAGCUCUCCAGACAGCAUAUGAAAUCCUUAUUUUCUGCUUUGGACUAACUGCCAUUUAACAAGCUUCUCUUAAGUUCCAUCUUACACCUAUCCCAAAUUCUCCCAGAUUAUUCUAACUGAUCAUGUUGUUUUCUCAACUUGUAUGCAGUAUCGGCAGAGCACAUUUUGCAAAAGAAGGAAAACUGCUUAUAUCCAGAUAAAUGGGCCGAUCGUCUCGUUACUAUGAAUUAAAAAGCACUGUAUAAGUAAUACAUUUACCCCUUCAUGUCUUGCCCUCCCUUUCACUUCCCAUAACACAGUUGUGGCAAAUUCAGCAAGCAAGCAAAACACAUACAGAAAGUGGUAACUAGCAGAACUGACCUUGACUUUUAUCCACCAGCGGCAAAGUGCUGUCAUCAUAGCCAGACCUGCCAGCAGUACCUUUGGAACUCUUUGGAGUUGCAGAAACAGACUUCAAAACAAAAAUUAGGUAAAUAUGAAACUGCUGUUCAGGGAAAUCAAACAAGUAAAAUAAGCAGUAUGAAGCAAGAUCACCUAUUGCUUCUAAAUCCCCUCCUGUUGAUAGCAUGGCAGUGGAGUUUUUUUUUUUAAUAUUUUCAUACAGAUUUGUUAGUGGAAAUUUUUUUGUGUGUGUAUUAUCUAGAUGGCUGCACUGUUGGUCUGUAAAAGGAGCUCAACCUUUUCAGAAGGGAAGGUAAGGAGGCUGCACGUCAAGAACUAGUGACUGCUCUGGACUGCUGCCUGAAAUAGAUUUCAUAUGAGAAAAAAAACAGUUGAGAAAAGACAUGCUGAUCCUUCCUUGAGCAAAGCCCACACAUUUGGGCUACACAGCAUGGCAUACUUUCAAAAACUAAAAAGCUACAUUUCAUAGACCAGCAAAAAACCUAUCCAUGAAGUAUGUGCAUGAUGUUAUGACUGAAUAGGUUACAACACAUUUUUCCAUUACCCAGAAGAACAGAUUCAAAGCAUGUAAUCUAUCAGACAUUAGUAUUACAUUAAGAGAGGGCACCUUCCACUCAGGUAUUUCAUAACUACUAACUAAACCUAAGACCCGACAUCUUUACCUGGAAGUGUGAUUUGUUCCAGCC
This 12229-nucleotide long non-coding RNA is filed under the name Gallus gallus (chicken). Lineage: Eukaryota; Metazoa; Chordata; Aves; Galliformes; Phasianidae. The record is from RNAcentral.